CGUAGUCCGGAUUGGAGUCUGCAACUCGACUCCAUGAAGUCGGAAUCGCUAGUAAUCGUGGAUCAGAAUGCCACGGUGAAUACGUUCCCGGGCCUUGUACACACCGCCCGUCACACCAUGGGAGUGGGCUGCAAAAGAAGUAGGUAGUUUAACCUUCGGGGGGACGCUUACCACUUUGUGGUUCAUGACUGGGGUGAAGUCGUAACAAGGUAGCGCUAGGGGAACCU
RNAcentral lists this ribosomal RNA (227 nucleotides) under Vibrio parahaemolyticus. RNAcentral describes it as "partial 16S ribosomal RNA". It matches the Rfam family "Bacterial small subunit ribosomal RNA", at positions 1287 to 1513 of the family's 1533-position model. Lineage: Bacteria; Pseudomonadati; Pseudomonadota; Gammaproteobacteria; Vibrionales; Vibrionaceae. The record is from RNAcentral.